Molecule: RNA transcript, 2023 nt
Organism: Glycine soja
Lineage: Eukaryota; Viridiplantae; Streptophyta; Magnoliopsida; Fabales; Fabaceae
Gene name: phosphatidylinositol 4-phosphate 5-kinase 1-like
Exons: 13
Source: RefSeq, a predicted model, not a curated record
AGUAAUCUUGUUAGAUACAACUAGAAGAAAGAAAGUCUUAAUACUAUGAGGCUGAUGAUGCCUUUCCUUACACUACUUCAUUUCGUGGCAUAGAUAAUAAGGUAACUUUAUAUCUCGAUUAAUUAAUUUUUCCAGGGGGAGUAGGUAUUGCACACAUGAUUCAAAAGAUUGAAAAUAAAGAGUACAUGGGAUUUGGAGACCUUUGCAGGUGAACAUUUAUAGGAGUGCAUAUUUAUAGGAUGUGAUUUUCUGAUUUUUGGAAAUUUUGAUAUGCUGACAUCGAUGGUCUUCCUUCUUUCAGGCUUCCGUUCAUUAAAGCAUACAAGUUUGUGGCUAGAAACAUUUAAAUUUAAGGCUUUGUUUCUUCAUUAUAUACUGCUAGAAACAUUUACCUGUGUGUAUUUUUUGUAGAUAUAUGAAGGACUCCAAAGUCUAUUAGGAAAGCCACUUAUAGUGGGUGCGAACAAUCUAACAUGGACAUUAGUGAAGUUUAUCAACUGAGAGUUGUGAUGUUGGUAGUACUAAGAAUGACUUAUUGGCAGAGAAAUACAGCAAACUCAGUGUUGCACUUUUGGCUCACACAACUUGGAGUGGAGAGGCUAGUCUUGCUUGCUGUUUCUGGUGUGCUAGAAACAUGGACCAAUUCUUUUGGUUUUGCAAAGAUGACAAAUUUUGAGAGGUCACAGUUCUUGGACUCACCUAGUCUGGUUUUAUCUUAGUGGUUACACUCACCUUAGUUACACCAAAUAUACAAUAGUAAUACAAUAUAAUUAUAGGAGGUGCUGAUGUAAUUUAAGCCGCUAUUUGUAGCUCUUAUGCCUGAGAUAUCUCUUAGAUUCAGUACCUGCUAUUUGAUCCUUAGCCUACUAUGCUAUUCUUAUUUUUGACUUUUUUGUACUUUCCUUGAGUAGAGAUGAUAAGGGGGCUCAUUCAGGUAUCUUGGGAGCGUGUGGCAAUUGGUAUUUUUUUUAUUGUUUGCACCAUUGCCCAAAACUUGAAGCUACACUGGCUAGGCAGAUACAGGCACAAUUUCAAACCUCUGGCAAGCAAGCUCUUCAGUUCCAGUCAUAGUAACAACCUACACAUUUCAUUUUAAUGUACAUCCAAUUGGGUUUGAGCUUGUCAAGCCAUCAAAAAUGGCAACAACAAUUCGAAUGGUGUCAUCCAAUUGGGUUUGUGAGCCUCACUCUAGUGCUGCUUGUCUUAAGCUACAUUGCUGCUAUUUUUCAAGUAUCUGCUGGCCUUGAGGGAAGUAUCCUAUGCCAUGAUCGAUAUGCCCACUGUAUUGCAAUUCUCUUCAACUCGCCUGCGCUUCCGUGACUGCAACCACAUUGUGGAGAUCAUGCUUGUGGAGAUCGUCUUUGCCACUUAUCCAUUGAGGUACGUCCUUUCGUUUUAACAUUAGGCGUUCAUCGUUUUAACAUUUGCUCACUUUUGCAGGUCGAAGAAAAGUAGGAAAGGAAAGAGUCCCGGAAAGGGUACUCUCAGGGCGUUAUUGUUGUUUCUCCUUCUGCCCGAGUUCGUGUUUGUCGCAAACUGAGCUGCGCUUCCGUGAAUGCAACCACAUUGUCGAGUUCGCGUUUGUGGAGUUCGUGUCUGCGCUUCCAUCGAAGGUACAUGAUUCCUAUUUGUUGUGAGAGUGAAAUGAUGGGCAGCAGCACCAACUGAGGUACAUGAUUCCUAUUUGUUGUGAGAGUGAAAUGAUGGGCAGCAGCACCAACUGAGGGCUAUCAUUUACUACUGCUAAUUGGCAUUGCUGUGGAAGCGCUUUGAUUAUAUCUUUGAAGCCUCAAAGUCAGAUCAUAGGUUCUCCACCUGCCUCCACUACUCCUCCUCCUCCUCCUCCUCCUCCUUCUUCUCCUUCUCCUCCUCGACCUCCUCCUAUUUCGAACGCAUUGGCUUCGACGUCUGCCAUGAAGCGGACACGCAAAGCCUCACUUCUACGAUCAGUGGUGCAUGUUGAUCAUGCUACCGGGAAGACCGACGGUCCCCACAGGAAAAAAUUAAGAACAUAUUUGGGGAU